AACGAACGCUGGCGGCAGGCUUAACACAUGCAAGUCGAACGCGUGUAGCAAUACACGAGUGGCGCACGGGUGAGUAACGCGUGGAUAUCUGCCUUUUGGUUCGGAAUAACCCCGGGAAACUGGGGCUAAUACCGGAUGGUUCCUUCGGGAUAAAGAUUUAUCGCCAAAAGAUGAGUCCGCGUACGAUUAGCUAGUUGGUGAGGUAAUGGCUCACCAAGGCGACGAUCGUUAGCUGGUCUGAGAGGACGAUCAGCCACACUGGGACUGAGACACGGCCCAGACUCCUACGGGAGGCAGCAGUGGGGAAUAUUGGACAAUGGGGGCAACCCUGAUCCAGCCAUGCCGCGUGAGUGAUGAAGGCCUUCGGGUUGUAAAGCUCUUUUGGCGGGGACGA
RNAcentral lists this ribosomal RNA (394 nucleotides) under uncultured Alphaproteobacteria bacterium. RNAcentral's name for it is "bacterial SSU rRNA". It matches the Rfam family "Bacterial small subunit ribosomal RNA", at positions 29 to 448 of the family's 1533-position model. Lineage: Bacteria; Pseudomonadati; Pseudomonadota; Alphaproteobacteria. The record is from RNAcentral.